Molecule: ribosomal RNA, 505 nt
Filed under: uncultured bacterium
Lineage: Bacteria
Description: partial 16S ribosomal RNA
Rfam family: Bacterial small subunit ribosomal RNA
Source: RNAcentral
GACGAACGCUGGCGGCGUGCCUAAUACAUGCAAGUAGAACGCACAGUUUAUACCGUAGCUUGCUACACCAUAAACUGUGAGUUGCGAACGGGUGAGUAACGCGUAGGUAACCUGCCUGGUAGCGGGGGAUAACUAUUGGAAACGAUAGCUAAUACCGCAUAAUAUUAAUUAUUGCAUGAUAAUUGAUUGAAAGAUGCAAUUGCAUCACUACCAGAUGGACCUGCGUUGUAUUAGCUAGUAGGUGAGGUAACGGCUCACCUAGGCGACGAUACAUAGCCGACCUGAGAGGGUGAUCGGCCACACUGGGACUGAGACACGGCCCAGACUCCUACGGGAGGCAGCAGUAGGGAAUCUUCGGCAAUAGACGAAAGUCUGACCGAGCAACGCCGCGUGAGUGAAGAAGGUUUUCGGAUCGUAAAGCUCUGUUGUAAGAGAAGAACGGGUGUGAGAGUGGAAAGUUCACACUGUGACGGUAGCUUACCAGAAAGGGACGGCUAACUACGUG